GCAUUAAUGGGGUAGUGGUAACCUGGGUCGUUGCCAUACAAGUGGCUAGGCAUGUCUCGACCCGCCGGGGGUUCGAUUCCCCCUUAAUGCA
Molecule: non-coding RNA, 91 nt
Organism: Mycena olivaceomarginata
Lineage: Eukaryota; Fungi; Basidiomycota; Agaricomycetes; Agaricales; Mycenaceae
Source: the annotation of a GenBank genome assembly